This 223-nucleotide ribosomal RNA is filed under the name Bacillus atrophaeus. RNAcentral describes it as "partial 16S ribosomal RNA". It matches the Rfam family "Bacterial small subunit ribosomal RNA", at positions 60 to 268 of the family's 1533-position model. The record is from RNAcentral. Lineage: Bacteria; Bacillati; Bacillota; Bacilli; Caryophanales; Bacillaceae.
ACUGCAGUCGAGCGGACAGAUGGGAGCUUGCUCCCUGAUGUCAGCGGCGGACGGGUGAGUAACACGUGGGUAACCUGCCUGUAAGACUGGGAUAACUCCGGGAAACCGGGGCUAAUACCGGAUGCUUGAUUGAACCGCAUGGUUCAAUUAUAAAAGGUGGCUUCUGCUAUCCCUUACCGAUGGACCCGCGGCGCAUUAACUAGUUGGGGAGGUAACGGCUCCC